UGUAGUGUUAGGGCUUUGAGGAUAAUAUUUCCUUUGUCAGAACAAUGUUUAAUCAGAACCACGGGCGAGUGCUUCAGCUGGCUUUGAGGGCUUUAGUGUGAAAAAGACUUCAGGAGAGAUUAGAACCCGGCGAGAUGAGAACCAAGGGAGACCGGCCUCCCAGCCUAUAUCUAUCGCACCUGCCCUGGCUCAGGGCUGGGCUGGACGUGUUCAUUCUCAUCUUUCCCACCAGCUGUCCCUGAGGGCCGGGCUGGCCUGCCGGUGAGGGAAGCUCAGGGGAGGAGGGGGAGGCCCAGGUGAAAGGAAGCCUGAAUUUCCAGGAGGCAGACGGCAGACUCCGGACACCGGGCCCACCCAGAGCUCGGGGCCAGCGAUGGUCCCCUAGUGGAUGGCUUUCCUCUCCUCCUCUGGGGCUUCCGGUUGGCAUCGCCUGGACCAUCUCCCCAGCCCUUUGAUCAAGGCUGUCCUGAAAUGCCCUCCCCAGCAACUCCCCCGUGUAAACCCUAUGUUCCCAUAAUCAUAAUCGCGGUGGCUUCGUUUUUCUGACUGAACAUGAUCUGAGUGCCAGAUGUGCUUCCAGGGUGGCAGCGCCUCUAGGAGAGGAGUCUGGAGUGAUCCCUGAUCCGAUGGGUGGUCCUGGGACCUGUGGAGAAGGUGCACUCACACGUGAUCCCGGAGUGGUCACGCGGUUAUCACUGCGAUCAUCUGGAGCCUGGCGCAUGUUUACACAUGGCGCGGCUCUCAGGACCCAUGGCUGCAGCUUGCACCAGGGUCAUAAAAUUGCAGGGUGCAGGGACUGGAUCGCCCUGGGACUCUGAACACCCGCUCCUGACUUUCUGUGCUGGCCUGAAGGAAGCCCUUAUCUCCAGGAUCCACAGAAACACAGGGAAUAUACGUGGCACUGGCUCCUAAGGGUGAUGGACCAGGGUGGAAGACGUGGAAGGUUCGGCCACCGGUGCCCUGACUGCGUCCGCUGGCUUGUGUUGGUCUGAGUGACCAUCAGUGGCUCUAACAGUUCUGAAACACAGACUUGAUGGUUGCCAUCGUAAGAUGAAGCCAAAUGCUACCAGGAAAGACAAACAUCUCAGGAGAGGGAGCUGUCGCCGUGGCUGGGUUUCUUACGCAUGACCUUCUCACCCACCGCGUCACUUCUCCUCCAGAGUCCAGAGGACCCCCUCCCCACAGCAUGGAUGAGAAGAGAGCCCCCACUGUUAGACUCCACCACAGCCGUGACCUGAGGCCGCCGUCACCGUGAGAGAUGCUGCCAUUAUCUCAGAGCCCCCCAAAUUCGAUGGGAAAACGAAAUCUCAGAAGGGCAGGGGCCCGGGGCGAGUCGUCGAUGAGGUGGCUGUGGUCACGCAGUGGGCAGCAGGACUGCCCAAACACGGCCAUGGCUUGGCCCACAGAGAUCUCUGAUGACAACCCGUGAAUCACAGCAUUCCUGGGACUCAAGGAGAGAGCUGUGAUCGUUUGUUCUCUUUUGCUUGUAACAGAAUACCUAAGCCUGUUACAGUGGGCAGCCCGUGUGGUGUGAGCAGGGCAGAAGAGGGUCCACUCACCCCAGGAGCGUCAGCGACCAUCAGGUGCUGGUCAGGCGGUUGUCACACUGUCUCUCUAAAGUAAUAACUGGCCACAGCCGGGGCCAGGGAAAGCCAGGCUCCUAAUAGAAAACACCUGAAGCUGGUGAUGAGCAGCUUCCUGAUAAGAGCUCAGGAGUGGGGGAAGGUGACCCCAGAAGCAUGCCGAUGCAUAACCCUGAGUUGAGAGGCCAAGCCGCACACUUGGUCUCUCAGGUCACCCACUUGACCUUCUUCCGAGUGGACUUUCCUUCCUCACAUUCCUUCUCUAGAGAUUUUUAAUAAAUGU
Molecule: long non-coding RNA, 1866 nt
Filed under: Homo sapiens (human)
Lineage: Eukaryota; Metazoa; Chordata; Mammalia; Primates; Hominidae
Description: HSALNT0083295
Source: RNAcentral